UACAUGGGGUGCGAACGUUGCUCGGAAUUAUUGGGCGUAAAGCGCACGUAGGUGGUCUGUUAUGUCAGAUGUGAAAGCCCUCGGCUUAACUGAGGAAGUGCACCUGAAACUGGCAGGCUUGAGUACGAAAGAGGGUCGCGGAAUUCCCGGUGUAGAGGUGAAAUUCGUAGAUAUCGGGAGGAACACCGGUGGCGAAGGCGGCGAUCUGGGCAGAUAUUGACGCUGAGGUGCGAAAGCGUGGGGAGCAAACAGG
This 253-nucleotide ribosomal RNA is filed under the name uncultured bacterium. RNAcentral's name for it is "partial 16S ribosomal RNA". It matches the Rfam family "Bacterial small subunit ribosomal RNA", at positions 524 to 776 of the family's 1533-position model. The record is from RNAcentral.